GAUGAAGAACGCAGCGAAAUGCGAUACUUGGUGUGAAUUGCAGAAUCCCGUGAACCAUCGAGUCUUUGAACGCAAGUUGCGCCUCAAGCCAUUAGGUUGAGGGCACGUCUGCCUGGGCGUCACAUAUCGUUGCCUGAUGCCAGUUUCCUCGUGAUGGGUGACUGUGCAGGGCGAAUGAUGGCUUCCCGUGAGCAUUGUUGCCUCAUGGUUGGUUGAAAAUUGAGUCCUUGGUAGGGAGCGCCGUGAUAGAUGGUGGUUGAGUGACGAACGAGACCCAAUCAUGUGAGACCCCUACCGAAUUUGGCCUUCAUGACCCACAUGCGUCUUUGGAACGGUCAUGACGAGACCUCAGGUCAGGCGGGGCUACCCGCUGAGUUUAAGCAUAUCAAUAAGCGGAGGA
This 400-nucleotide unclassified non-coding RNA is filed under the name soil metagenome. Its description in RNAcentral is "partial contains 5.8S ribosomal RNA, internal transcribed spacer 2, and large subunit ribosomal RNA". The stretch from base 1 to 122 matches the Rfam family "5.8S ribosomal RNA", at positions 35 to 154 of the family's 154-position model. The record is from RNAcentral.